Molecule: ribosomal RNA, 440 nt
Filed under: uncultured bacterium
Lineage: Bacteria
Description: partial 16S ribosomal RNA
Rfam family: Bacterial small subunit ribosomal RNA
Source: RNAcentral
CCUACGGGUGGCAGCAGUAGGGAAUAUUGCUCAAUGGGGGAAACCCUGAAGCAGCAACGCCGCGUGGAGGAUGAAGGUUUUCGGAUUGUAAACUCCUUUUGUUAGAGAGGAUAAUGACGGUAUCUCACGAAUAAGCACCGGCUAACUCCGUGCCAGCAGCCGCGGUACUACGGCGGGUGCAAGCGUUACUCGGAAUCACUGGGCGUAGAGAGCGCGGAGGCGGGAUAGCAAGUCAGAUGUGAAAUACUAUGGCUUAACCAUAGAACUGCCUUUGAAACUGUUAUUCUAGAGUAUGGGAGAGGUAGGUGGAAUUCUUGGUGUAGGGGUAAAAUCCGUAGAGAGCAAGAGGAAUACUCAUUGCGAAGGCGACCUGCGAGAACAUAACUGACGCUGAUGCGCGAAAGCGUGGGGAGCAAACAGGAUUAGAUACCCCAGUAGUC